This is a small RNA of Epilithonimonas sp., 105 nucleotides long. It matches the Rfam family "Flavo-1 RNA". The record is from Rfam. Lineage: Bacteria; Pseudomonadati; Bacteroidota; Flavobacteriia; Flavobacteriales; Weeksellaceae.
CCUUAGCCCCGAUAGUAGUGGAAAUCCUUUUUUGCUUUGAUUUCACUUUCUUUCGGAUGACCAAAUGUGGUGCAAAAAAGAUUGCAACGGAUAGCGGGAUCAAGC